GGUGCCCUACGGGACGCAGCAGUGGGGGAUAUUGCACAAUGGGGGAAACCCUGAUGCAGCGACGCCGCGUGGGCGAAGAAGUGUUUCGGUAUGUAAAGCCCUAUCAGCAGGGAAGAGGAAAUGACGGUACCUGAGUAAGAAGCACCGGCUAAAUACGUGCCAGCAGCCGCGGUAAUACGUAUGGUGCAAGCGUUAUCCGGAUUUACUGGGUGUAAAGGGGGCGCAGGCGGCACGGCAAGCCUGAUGUGAAAGCCCGCGGCCCAACCGCGGGACUGCAUUGGGAACUACCGGGCUGGAGUGCCGGG
RNAcentral lists this ribosomal RNA (305 nucleotides) under uncultured bacterium. Its description in RNAcentral is "bacterial SSU rRNA". It matches the Rfam family "Bacterial small subunit ribosomal RNA", at positions 333 to 653 of the family's 1533-position model. The record is from RNAcentral.